Molecule: long non-coding RNA, 175 nt
Organism: Agrilus planipennis (emerald ash borer)
Lineage: Eukaryota; Metazoa; Arthropoda; Insecta; Coleoptera; Buprestidae
Exons: 3
Source: RefSeq, a predicted model, not a curated record
GUCGGUGGUUCGUUUUGCAGUUCGUGUCCGGUUUGACGCGCAGGUUCUUGUGAAGUGACGUUUCUGGUUUGGUUGAACACUACCUCAAAUUCAGAUAUGACAGGAAAUGUUAAAGUGAUUUCAUCUUUCAGUGAUUUUCAAGACUUUCAAGUUAAAGUUUGGAAAUGAAGCAGCG